RNAcentral lists this ribosomal RNA (260 nucleotides) under Oxyrrhis marina. Its description in RNAcentral is "partial Eukaryotic large subunit ribosomal RNA". It matches the Rfam family "Eukaryotic large subunit ribosomal RNA", at positions 783 to 1042 of the family's 3401-position model. The record is from RNAcentral. Lineage: Eukaryota; Dinophyceae; Oxyrrhinales; Oxyrrhinaceae.
UAAAGGUUUGAGUGUGAGCAUUUAUGUUGGGACCCGAAAGAUGGUGAACUAUGCCUGAAUAGGGCGAAGCCAGGGGAAACUCUGGUGGAGGCUCGUAGCGAUUCUGACGUGCAAAUCGAUCGUCAAAUUUGGGUAUAGGGGCGAAAGACUAAUCGAACCAUCUAGUAGCUGGUUCCCUCCGAAAUUUCCCUUAGGAUAGCUGCAACCGGUUAAGAGUUUUAUCAGGUAAAGCGAAUGAUUAGAGGCCUUGGGCGCGAAAC